This is a long non-coding RNA of Salvelinus namaycush (lake trout), 842 nucleotides long. RefSeq lists it as uncharacterized. The record is from RefSeq and is a predicted model, not a curated record. Lineage: Eukaryota; Metazoa; Chordata; Actinopteri; Salmoniformes; Salmonidae. The transcript has 3 exons.
UAUCUGAUGAAAUUCGAGCAACAGUUAUAGACCAUGUUCUUGUCCAUGGACUGACAAUGAGGGAAGCAGGACUUAGAGUGCAACCCAAUUUGAGCCGAUUUUCUGUGUCCACCAUAGUAAGGACAUUCAGAGAAGAGAACAGAAUUGCAAGGCUGCCACAUGCAGGUGGAAGGACAGCUAUAUUCACUCGGGAGCAAGAGGCCGUUAUAGUUGGCAUGGUCCUUCAAGAUAAUGCAAUACGACUCAGAGAAAUCCAGGAACGAGUGAUACAAGACAACACACACUUCCAGGGAAUCGACAGUGUGAGCAUUUCCACAAUUGACCGUGUCCUCCAUCGUAACAGGAUGCGAAUGAAACAAGUAUACAGAGUACCUUUUGAGCGCAACUCACCAAGGGUGAAAGAACUGCGAGCUCAGUAUGUGCAAACAAUAUUUGACUUGGAAUCCUUGGACAGACCCCAUGAGUUCAUCUUUGUCGAUGAAGCAGGCUUCAAUCUAACAAAGAGGAGAAGGAGAGGCCGAAACAUGAUUGGACAGCGGGCCAUUGUUGAAGUCCCUGGUCAACGAGGUGGCAAUGUCACAAUCUGUGCUGCUAUCAGCAACCAUGGUGUUCUACAUCACCAUGUUACACUCGGGCCAUAUAACACCCAGCACCUAAGAUUUAUUGCCAAUCUAAGAGAUAUUUUAUUUGAGCAGCAGGUUCAAGAGCAGCAGGGUCAAGAGCUAAAUGAGAAUCCCAUUCCCACCUAUGUGAUAGUGUGGGACAAUGUCAGUUUCCACCGAGCUGCUCAGGUAAGGGAAUGGUUUAACAUCAAUGGGCAGUUUAUGAACUUGUACCUCCCU